Molecule: non-coding RNA, 235 nt
Organism: Paramuricea clavata
Lineage: Eukaryota; Metazoa; Cnidaria; Anthozoa; Malacalcyonacea; Plexauridae
Source: the annotation of a GenBank genome assembly
GUAGGGUUGAUGAAUUUCUCUGGGGGGAAUGGUGUGUGCACUUAACCACAAAAUCCCACUUUGACCUUCAACACAAUUAUAGUUGCCUCAAGAAAACACUAGUUCCCAGGUCUUUCCAAUGUCUGGCUAAAGGGGGGAGAUAUCCAGACAUCUUGUGGUUGCCUGAAUGUUAGAUUUUUAAGAUUUUUAGUCGUACCUGACUGGUACACCAAUGGUUAUUGCCACGCACUGACGC